This 297-nucleotide ribosomal RNA is filed under the name uncultured Lactobacillus sp. RNAcentral's name for it is "partial 16S rRNA". It matches the Rfam family "Bacterial small subunit ribosomal RNA", at positions 395 to 683 of the family's 1533-position model. The record is from RNAcentral. Lineage: Bacteria; Bacillati; Bacillota; Bacilli; Lactobacillales; Lactobacillaceae.
CGCCGCGUGAGUGAUGAAGGGUUUCGGCUCGUAAAACUCUGUUGUUGGAGAAGAACACGGUGUCAGAGUAACUGUUGACAUCUUGACGGUAUCCAACCAGAAAGYCACGGCUAACUACGUGCCAGCAGCCGCGGUAAUACGUAGGUGGCAAGCGUUGUCCGGAUUUAUUGGGCGUAAAGCGAGCGCAGGCGGUUUYUUAGGUCUGAUGUGAAAGCCUUCGGCUUAACCGGAGAAGUGCAUCGGAAACCRGGAGACUUGAGUGCAGAAGAGGACAGUGGAACUCCAUGUGUAGCGGUG